UACGGAGGGAGCUAGCGUUGUUCGGAAUUACUGGGCGUAAAGCGCACGUAGGCGGCUUUGUAAGUUAGAGGUGAAAGCCCGGGGCUCAACUCCGGAACUGCCUUUAAGACUGCAUCGCUAGAAUCCAGGAGAGGUGAGUGGAAUUCCGAGUGUAGAGGUGAAAUUCGUAGAUAUUCGGAAGAACACCAGUGGCGAAGGCGGCUCACUGGACUGGUAUUGACGCUGAGGUGCGAAAGCGUGGGGAGCAAACAGG
Molecule: ribosomal RNA, 253 nt
Filed under: uncultured bacterium
Lineage: Bacteria
Description: partial 16S ribosomal RNA
Rfam family: Bacterial small subunit ribosomal RNA
Source: RNAcentral